RNAcentral lists this ribosomal RNA (776 nucleotides) under uncultured Neocallimastigales. Its description in RNAcentral is "partial large subunit ribosomal RNA". It matches the Rfam family "Eukaryotic large subunit ribosomal RNA", at positions 26 to 643 of the family's 3401-position model. Lineage: Eukaryota; Fungi; Neocallimastigomycota; Neocallimastigomycetes; Neocallimastigales. The record is from RNAcentral.
CGUCUAUAUACGUAUAGCAUAUCAAUAAGCGGAGGAAAAGAAACUAACAAGGAUUCCCUCAGUAACGGCGAGUGAAGCGGGAAGAGCUCAAAUUUGAAAUCUUCAAGGUUUUACCUUGACGAAUUGUAGUUUAAAGAAGUGUUUUCUGUAGUGGAGUUUGGUAAAAGUUCUUUGGAAAAGGACAUCAUAGAGGGUGAGAAUCCCGUAUUUGACCAUUAUCUUCCAGCUUUGUGAUACACUUUCAAAGAGUCGGAUUGUUUGGGAAUGCAGUCCAAAAUGGGUGGUAAAUUUCAUCUAAAGCUAAAUAUUGGCGAGAGACCGAUAGCGAACAAGUACCGUGAGGGAAAGAUGAAAAGAACUUUGAAAAGAGAGUUAAACAGUACGUGAAAUUGUCAAAAGGGAAGCGUUUGACACCAGUGUUGUUUUCUCCGAAAAUCAAUUAUCGAUGUUUUGUUUUGAGGAGUGAUGACUUCAUCGGCUUGCUCCUUUCUUUACGAAACUUUCUGUAAUGCACCUUUCGGUUAACAAGUCAACAUCAAUUUCUUUUGUUGUAAAAGAGUAUUAGGAAGGUGGCUUUCUUUUCGGAGAAAGUGUUUAUAGCCCUAUACUUCUACAAUCGGAGAGAUUGAGGUCUGCAGCGUAGAUCCUUCGGGGUUAGAUACAUUUGUGCUAAGUUAUAGCUUUUCAUAGACAACUUGUUGACUAUGUUUAGUCAUGUCGCUUACUCGCUUAUGCUAUUUUACCUACGCUUAGGAUGUUGACUGAUAUGUAGUCGU